Molecule: ribosomal RNA, 412 nt
Filed under: uncultured bacterium
Lineage: Bacteria
Description: bacterial SSU rRNA
Rfam family: Bacterial small subunit ribosomal RNA
Source: RNAcentral
GUGUCAGCAGCCGCGGUAAUACGUAGGGUGCGAGCGUUAAUCGGAAUUACUGGGCGUAAAGCGAGCGCAGACGGUUAAUUAAGUCAGAUGUGAAAUCCCCGAGCUCAACUUGGGACGUGCAUUUGAAACUGGUUAACUAGAGUGUGUCAGAGGGAGGUAGAAUUCCACGUGUAGCAGUGAAAUGCGUAGAGAUGUGGAGGAAUACCGAUGGCGAAGGCAGCCUCCUGGGAUAACACUGACGUUCAUGCUCGAAAGCGUGGGUAGCAAACAGGAUUAGAUACCCUGGUAGUCCACGCCCUAAACGAUGACAAUUAGCUGUUGGGACACUAGAUGUCUUAGUAGCGAAGCUAACGCGUGAAAUUGUCCGCCUGGGGAGUACGGUCGCAAGAUUAAAACUCAAAUAAAUUGACGG